GUAUAUUUCAAUCAAGAUUGUUGAGGUUAAUUGUGCUUCUUUUAUGCUAUCUCUGAAAGCAUGUAUAUUUCAAUCAAGAUUGUUGAGUAAACUUUUCUUACUUUAUGCUAUCUCUGAAAGCAUGUAUAUUUCAGUCAAGAUUGUUGAGUAAAUUGUGCUUAUUUUAUGCUUUUUUCUUUUUUACAUUAGAAAAUUCCACACUUUUAUCACGAGGAUGACAUUUAGGAAUGACAAGUUUAUAGAAGCUCAACUAUUCGAAGCAGGAGACCGAAGAGAAAAAAGAAAGAGAGAUGAUAUUACAGCUGCAGAAAAGGAAAUAAUUGAAACGCAGAAGAAUAUAUUAAUGUACUGUGUGAAAUAUGUGACUUGUAUAAGCAAUCAGUUGCAAAUCAGACUGCUGUCAUAGAAAAUCAAAUAUAAUUAUUAAUUUAUUAAAAAAAUAAAUCAUGCAUUUCAAAU
Molecule: long non-coding RNA, 459 nt
Organism: Stegodyphus dumicola
Lineage: Eukaryota; Metazoa; Arthropoda; Arachnida; Araneae; Eresidae
Source: RefSeq, a predicted model, not a curated record